This 72-nucleotide transfer RNA is filed under the name Felis catus (domestic cat). It matches the Rfam family "tRNA". From Rfam's summary of the family: Transfer RNA (tRNA) molecules are approximately 80 nucleotides in length. The record is from Rfam by way of RNAcentral. Lineage: Eukaryota; Metazoa; Chordata; Mammalia; Carnivora; Felidae.
GCCUGGGUGGCUCAGUCGGUUGAGCGUCUGACUUCAGCUCAGAGUUCGUAGGUUCAAGCCCCGCGUCGGACU